UCUAAGCGCAGUCAUGACUUUCUGUAUCUAACUUCCAUAACGGUCUUAUUUAAAAAAAAUUAUUUGUAUUUUUAUUGUUGUUAGAUGAUAAACAUAAAUAUUACUUUAUGCGUGACUUAUAUUUUUAUUUUUUAAAAAAAUAAAUAAGAUGAUCGAUUAAAAUUAAACACGAAAACUCAUGGUUGCGUUUAAA
This is a non-coding RNA of Oryza punctata, 193 nucleotides long. Lineage: Eukaryota; Viridiplantae; Streptophyta; Magnoliopsida; Poales; Poaceae. The record is from Rfam.